RNAcentral lists this ribosomal RNA (334 nucleotides) under uncultured bacterium. RNAcentral describes it as "bacterial SSU rRNA". It matches the Rfam family "Bacterial small subunit ribosomal RNA", at positions 28 to 361 of the family's 1533-position model. The record is from RNAcentral.
GAUGAACGCUAGCGGCAGGCCUAACACAUGCAAGUCGAGGGGCAGCACGUCUUCGGAUGGUGGCGACCGGCGCACGGGUGCGUAACGCGUAUGCAACCUACCUCUUACAGUGGGAUAGCCCAGAGAAAUUUGGAUUAAUACCGCAUAGUAUACAGAUUCAGCAUUGGGACUGUAUUAAACAUUUAUGGGUAAGAGAUGGGCAUGCGUUCUAUUAGUUAGUUGGAGUGGUAACGGCACCCCAAGACAGCGAUAGAUAGGGCCCGUCGAGAGGGGAGUCCCCACCACUGGUACGUGAGACACGGACCGAGACUCCUACGGAGGCAGCAGUGAGGAA